AAUCAACGCUGGCGGCGUGCCUCAGACAUGCAAGUCGAACGAUUAAAGCUCUCUUCGGAGAGUGUAUAGAGUGGCGCACGGGUGAGUAACACGUAAGUAAUCUACCUUUGAGUGGGGAAUAACGUCCGGAAACGGACGCUAAUACCGCAUAAUGCAGCGGCAUCGCAAGAUGACAGUUGUUAAAGAUUUAUCGCUUGAAGAGGAGCUUGCGGCAGAUUAGCUAGUUGGUAAGGUAAUGGCUUACCAAGGCUACGAUCUGUAACCGGUCUAAGAGGACGGUCGGUCACACUGACACUGAAUAACGGGUCAGACUCCUACGGGAGGCAGCAGUCGGGAAUUUUGGGCAAUGGGCGAAAGCCUGACCCAGCAACGCCGCGUGAAGGAUGAAGUAUUUCGGUAUGUAAACUUCGAAAGAAUGGGAAGAAUAAAUGACGGUACCAUUUAUAAGGUCGGCUAACUACGUGCCAGCAGCCGCGGUAAG
RNAcentral lists this ribosomal RNA (481 nucleotides) under uncultured bacterium. Its description in RNAcentral is "bacterial SSU rRNA". It matches the Rfam family "Bacterial small subunit ribosomal RNA", at positions 32 to 524 of the family's 1533-position model. The record is from RNAcentral.